This 1568-nucleotide long non-coding RNA is filed under the name Citrus sinensis (sweet orange). RNAcentral describes it as "long non-coding RNA (CSIN_LNC000546)". Lineage: Eukaryota; Viridiplantae; Streptophyta; Magnoliopsida; Sapindales; Rutaceae. The record is from RNAcentral.
GCAAAAUUAAAACAGUAAUCACCACAAUGCCAAGCACUUCAGUAAUUUUUUGUCUCUUAGCCCUAGCGACAAUCCAUCUCUCCUCUGCCCACAAUAAACCUGAAGACUACCUCAAAGCUCACAACGAGGCUCGUGCUAGUGUUGGCGUUGGCCCGAUGUCAUGGGACUACAAAUUGGCGGAUUAUUCACAUAAACAUGCACAAAAACUAAAGGGUAACUGCAAUUUAAAGAAACCCCAAGUUAGCAAAUACAGCGAGACAAUUGCAUGGAGCAACCAGGGCGAGAUUACCGCCAUCGAGUUCGUGAAGAUGUGUAUGGAUGGGAAGCCAUUAUACGACUACAACUCUAAUACUUGUGCUCUUAAUGGUACGAAAUGCGCAAUCUAUACUCAAGUUGUGUGGCGCAAUUCUGUGCGUUUAGGUUGUGCUAAAGAGAGGUGCAAUAACAAUGGGACUCUCAACUUUGUCAUUUGCAACUACGAUCCCCGAGGUAAUGUUUUUGGUCAACAUCCUUACUAGUGGAUCAUAAAGAAACUUUCCUCUAUAUAUGAGACCAGAGGGCUAUGCAUGAAUAAGUCAUGCCGUUGGCAGAUAUUCGAAAACAAUAAAAUCAAGCUAUGUGUUCGCUUCCAUUUACGCAAGUAAUAAAAAAAUAAAUUGAACAUAUAAUUUCUCUUUUGAUUNNNNNNNNNNNNNNNNNNNNUUAUGUAAUUUAUUAUUAAGGGGCUUAAUUAUCCUUCCCCUUAUGGUAAAUAAUAACUAAUACGGGUAAAUUACAUAUAAUAAAAAUUUCUUGUGUGAUCUCAAGGGGCUUGAUUGAUGAGAUGCUCCUUUAAUCCUUACAAUUUGAGUCAAUUAUUCAAUUAGUCCCUAUAUUUAUAAAACUUAUCAAAAAGAUCCCUAUAACUUUGUUUCCAUUAAAAUAUAUCUACCUCACUUCUCUCUAUUUGCUAACUGUUAUAUGUCUAACUUAUUAGAAUUUCAACUUAUAUUAGACAAAAAUAUUACGUAUGCUUAAGAAGUUAAUUUAAGUCCUAUUAAAGAAAAGAAAUGAGUAUUUUGAAUAAUUAUAAUUAAAAGAUACAUAAAAUAAAUUAGUAAUUAGCCUAAACCCUGAAAAUUAAAGGGGAAUUUACCCUUACCAAAGUGCCACUAAGUUUUAUUUAUCUUGUAUUACUAGAAAUUUCUUUUGAAAAAUUUUCGACCAUACAAUUCUUGAUGAUUUUCACACCAUUCCCUAUAUAAACCUCUUAUACACAAGCAAGCAGUUCCAUCCAUUACCUAAGCUCUUUCUUUCCCAUUUCCAUCGGAUAAGCGAAAUUAAACCAGUAAUCACCACAAUGCCAAGCACUUCAGCAAUUUUUUGUCUCUUAGCCCUAGCGACAAUCCAUCUCUCCUCUGCCCACAAUAAACCUGAAGACUACCUCAAAGCUCACAACGAGGCUCGUGCUAGUGUUGGCGUUGGCCCGAUGUCAUGGGUCUACAAAUUGGCGGAUUAUUCACAUAAACAUGCACAAAAACUAAAGGGUAACUGCAAUUUAAAGAAACCCCAAGUUAGCAAAUACAGCG